UGCAGUAUAUUCAUGUCAUGUGUCUUCAUUUGGAUUAUUAGCCCCUAGAGUCCAGCAAACACGUCAAAGCUUAAAGUUAUUUUAUAGCUCACACUGUCUCUUUAUCUCUGCCAGAUGGAGUUACUAUACGCUAAUGAAUAUAGAAGAAUCUCAUAAAAAACCCUAAAAUGACAGGAUUUGAAAAUUCUCCUUUUCAACUAAGGGAGACUAAAUUAAAGGCUGAGCUUUGGAUGAAAUUCAGAAGACGUCCAGAAGUGGGAUGAUGAUGCUACAGGACAGCUCUGGGAUGCUUUACCAACACUGUGGAUAGAGGUUUUUCUCAGACCAAGAAAAGGUUUAAACUCUUCUAAGGAUUGUCAUCUGGUACACCCAAAGCAAAGGCUUUAACUUUCUGGAUUACGAACCAUUCUCUAGAAGAUUGUGAAAGAUAUGUUCCUUUCCUCAGUCCUCCAAAAUUGACUUGAAAUUUUCCAAGAAGAUUUUAAGAAAUCUGAAACUCUGAAGACUACUUUCAGAAGAAAAUUCUCAGAUCUUUGAGUACAGAUU
Molecule: long non-coding RNA, 546 nt
Organism: Sarcophilus harrisii (Tasmanian devil)
Lineage: Eukaryota; Metazoa; Chordata; Mammalia; Dasyuromorphia; Dasyuridae
Exons: 3
Source: RefSeq, a predicted model, not a curated record